CUUCGUGCGCUCCACGUUCUCGGAGUAGCUCGUCAAAGUGGCUAUGAUGCCGCUGUCCCUGCUCUCCAGGGUGGAUGUGGGGCUGGUGACGGCCCCGUAGCUGCAGUCCUUGGCGGGGACGCUGGUGCUGACGGGUGGCAGCGUGGAGCAGGGGCUGCUGGCGGGCGGUGAGGCCGUGCUGCUGGUCAGCGUGGAGCAGGGGCUGAUGCGCUGCGUCACGGCCGAGCUCUGGUUCUCGUCCUGCACCUCCAUGCUGUACUGGGGCCCUGGCUGUACCUCCGUGACUUUCUCCCCCAGGAGGAAGCCCAGGCGAGUCAUGAGUGUAUUUGCUGCCUCAUCUACGGAUGGAGGGGGUCCCAGCUCCUGCUCAGCG
This 373-nucleotide long non-coding RNA is filed under the name Gallus gallus (chicken). Lineage: Eukaryota; Metazoa; Chordata; Aves; Galliformes; Phasianidae. The record is from RNAcentral.